AGAAUCAACGCUGGCGGCGUGCCUAACACAUGCAAGUCGAACGAGAAAGUGGAGCAAUCCAUGAGUAAAGUGGCGCACGGGUGAGUAACACGUGACUAACCUACCCUUGAGUGGGGGAUAAACCUAGAGAAAUCUGGGCUAAUACCGCAUAAUACCUUCGGGUCAAAGGAGCAAUUCGCUUAAGGAGGGGGUCGCGGCCGAUUAGUUAGUUGGCGGGGUAAUGGCCCACCAAGACUAUGAUCGGUAUCCGGCCUGAGAAGGCGCACGGACACACUGGAACUGAAACACGGUCCAGACUCCUACGGGAGGCAGCAGUGGGGAAUUUUGCGCAAUGGGGGAAACCCUGACGCAGCAACGCCGCGUGGAGGAUGAAGUCCCUUGGGACGUAAACUCCUUUUAUUUGGGAAGAAACCCCCGAUUUCUAUUGGGGUUGACGGUACCAGAUGAAUAGCACGGCUAACUCCGCGCCAGCAGCCGC
RNAcentral lists this ribosomal RNA (478 nucleotides) under uncultured bacterium. Its description in RNAcentral is "SSU rRNA". It matches the Rfam family "Bacterial small subunit ribosomal RNA", at positions 26 to 518 of the family's 1533-position model. The record is from RNAcentral.